RNAcentral lists this ribosomal RNA (253 nucleotides) under uncultured bacterium. Its description in RNAcentral is "partial 16S ribosomal RNA". It matches the Rfam family "Bacterial small subunit ribosomal RNA", at positions 524 to 776 of the family's 1533-position model. The record is from RNAcentral.
UACGUAGGCAGCGAGCGUUGUUCGGAAUUACUGGGCGUAAAGAGUGUGUAGGCGGUGCUCUAAGUUCGGUGUGAAAUCUCCCGGCUUAACUGGGAGGGUGCGCCGGAAACUGGAGUGCUCGAGCGUGGGAGAGGAAAGCGGAAUUCCUGGUGUAGCGGUGAAAUGCGUAGAUAUCAGGAGGAACACCUGCGGUGUAGACGGCUUUCUGGACGGUAACUGACGCUGAGACGCGAAAGCGUGGGGAGCAAACAGG